CCCACAUAAAGUGGGUAUGCCUCUUUAAGAGACAGAGGUUAAGGAGGCUGGGUGGUCUACCUGGCCAAUAGGAAGUUUAGUUUCCAGAGCGUCUGAACCAAUCAGAAUGCAGACUGCCGUUGUGGGUCCCGCCCUUCUCCCCCGGGUCUGCAGUACUGUUGGUUUGCCCUAGAGUUCCGACGUAAUGAGACAGCUGAGCUGUGCAGCGCCAGCGUAUGUAUUGUGACAGUUAAAGUAUUUCGUACGAACUGUAUUAUUUACAAACUGUAUUAUAAACUAACUCUUUUGUAAAUAGAUUUUCUGUUGAUCGUCCAGCUUCUGGGCUGGAAAUGAUUUAUUAAGUAUAAAGACUAAACUUCAGUUUUCUGCUGUUAGAGCCGUUAGGAACCGUUAGCUCUUUCUGGCAGUUGGUUCAUCUUGUUCUCCGUUCAGUUAAAGUGCCCCACGCAGCCGGACUGAGAGACACUAUACAGUUGUCUGAGGCGUGUCGCAUUGAGAUCGGUCAGGUUUUUUAUUUGUGCUGGAUUGUUCCUGAAGUGGAACCUCCUUUGACCUUGAUGGCGAGCCUUCCCACCUGGACCUAAGGAAAGAACCAGAUUUCGUCUGUCCCAUUUGGAGUCCUGCUGCACCCUGCGGUGUGGUAGGCGUGUAACACACAUCUUCACACACAGUUGGUUAUGUGUGAGACCACCGACUGACAUUCUCCAUUCUUAUUGUUUUUUUUUUAUUUUGGACAAUACAUUUUGGACCAAUUUUAUUUCAUACAUUAUAACAAACUGCUGUGGUGGAAAUUCUCCUCUGUGAACGAUGUCGAGUUAACUCAAUUUGGAAAUGAAUUUAAUUAAUCUGUUGACUAAUAUAAUUUAGAGUGCAGAUUACUAGGGUGCACCCAAAAUAUUUGAAUCUAAGAGAUAGCACUUGGCCAAGUAAUAUUGUCAUUAUUUUAUGUAUUUUAUUGUGUGUAAUUUUAUUUUCAUAAUUGUGUGUUUUGUGCAACUGUCAAUUGUAUGUUUUAUGUCACUAAAGCCAGUUCUUUAGAUA
Long non-coding RNA from Xiphophorus couchianus (Monterrey platyfish), 1041 nucleotides. RefSeq lists it as uncharacterized. The transcript has 3 exons. The record is from RefSeq and is a predicted model, not a curated record. NCBI's taxonomy places the organism in Eukaryota, Metazoa, Chordata, Actinopteri, Cyprinodontiformes, Poeciliidae.